UACGAAGGGUCCAAGCGUUAUCGGAUUUAUUGGGUUUAAAGGGUGCGUAGGCGGGUUAUUAAGUCAGUGGUGAAAUCUUGCAGCUUAACUGUAAAAUUGCCAUUGAUACUGAUGAUCUUGAGUACGUUUGAAGUGGGCGGAAUAUGUCAUGUAGAGGUGAAAUUCUUAGAGAUGACAUAGAACACCGAUUGCGAAGGCAGCUCACUAAACUGUAACUGACGCUGAGGCACGAAAGCGUGGGGAUCAAACAGG
This 252-nucleotide ribosomal RNA is filed under the name uncultured bacterium. RNAcentral describes it as "partial 16S ribosomal RNA". It matches the Rfam family "Bacterial small subunit ribosomal RNA", at positions 524 to 776 of the family's 1533-position model. The record is from RNAcentral.